AGAACGAACGCUGGCGGCAUGCCUAAUACAUGCAAGUCGAACGAACACUUCGGUGUUAGUGGCGCACGGGUGCGUAACGCGUGGGAAUCUGCCCUUGGGUUCGGAAUAACAGUUGGAAACGACUGCUAAUACCGGAUGAUAUCGAAAGAUCAAAGAUUUAUCGCCCAGGGAUGAGCCCGCGUAGGAUUAGCUAGUUGGUGAGGUAAAGGCUCACCAAGGCGACGAUCCUUAGCUGGUCUGAGAGAUGAUCAGCCACACUGGACUGAGACACGGCCCAGACU
Molecule: ribosomal RNA, 281 nt
Filed under: uncultured soil bacterium
Lineage: Bacteria
Description: partial 16S ribosomal RNA
Rfam family: Bacterial small subunit ribosomal RNA
Source: RNAcentral